This 395-nucleotide long non-coding RNA is filed under the name Vulpes vulpes (red fox). RNAcentral describes it as "lncRNA (ENSVVUG00000003638.1)". Lineage: Eukaryota; Metazoa; Chordata; Mammalia; Carnivora; Canidae. The record is from RNAcentral.
AUGCACCGGGAGCCCGACGUGGGAUUUGAUCCCAGGUCUCCAGGAUCGCACCCUGGGCCAAAGACAGGCGCCAAACCGCUGCGCCACCCAGGGAUCCCCCUGAAUACAGGUCUUGGUUUGCAUUUUGCACAAUGUUUCUGGGAUUUCAUUUACCCAGCUCAUAACCCUCUCUGUGACAAGUUGCUAAACUAUGCUAUCCUGCAAGAGUGGCCUAAUCAACAACCUCCAAUAAUAGAUGAUGAUGAUAGAUGAUAGAUUAGAUAGAUAGAUAGAUAGAUAGAUAGAUAGAUAGAUGAAAAAUAGAUGAUAGCCUUUAUUGCAGAAUUUUUGUAAUAGGAAAAUAUUGAAAAAAUUGGUUGAAUAAAAUAUAAAACAUGCUUAAAUGUUGAAUGUUA